Molecule: ribosomal RNA, 472 nt
Filed under: uncultured organism
Description: partial 16S ribosomal RNA
Rfam family: Bacterial small subunit ribosomal RNA
Source: RNAcentral
ACACUCCUACGGGAGGCAGCAGUGGGGAAUUUUGGACAAUGGGCGAAAGCCUGAUCCAGCCAUGCCGCGUGCAGGAUGAAGGCCUUCGGGUUGUAAACUGCUUUUGUACGGAACGAAACGGCCUUUUCUAAUAAAGAGGGCUAAUGACGGUACCGUAAGAAUAAGCACCGGCUAACUACGUGCCAGCAGCCGCGGUAAUACGUAGGGUGCAAGCGUUAAUCGGAAUUACUGGGCGUAAAGCGUGCGCAGGCGGUUAUGUAAGACAGUUGUGAAAUCCCCGGGCUCAACCUGGGAACUGCAUCUGUGACUGCAUAGCUAGAGUACGGUAGAGGGGGAUGGAAUUCCGCGUGUAGCAGUGAAAUGCGUAGAUAUGCGGAGGAACACCGAUGGCGAAGGCAAUCCCCUGGACCUGUACUGACGCUCAUGCACGAAAGCGUGGGGAGCAAACAGGAUUAGAUACCCUUGUAGUCCC